RNAcentral lists this ribosomal RNA (484 nucleotides) under uncultured bacterium. RNAcentral's name for it is "partial 16S ribosomal RNA". It matches the Rfam family "Bacterial small subunit ribosomal RNA", at positions 30 to 507 of the family's 1533-position model. The record is from RNAcentral.
AUUGAACGCUGGCGGCAGGCCUAACACAUGCAAGUCGAGCGGAUGAAGGGAGCUUGCUCCUGGAUUCAGCGGCGGACGGGUGAGUAAUGCCUAGGAAUCUGCCUGGUAGUGGGGGAUAACGUCCGGAAACGGGCGCUAAUGCCGCAUACGUCCUGAGGGAAAAAGUGGGGGAUCUUCGGACCUCACGCUAUCAGAUGAGCCUAGGUCGGAUUAGCUAGUUGGUGGGGUAAAGGCCUACCAAGGCGACGAUCCGUAACUGGUCUGAGAGGAUGAUCAGUCACACUGGAACUGAGACACGGUCCAGACUCCUACGGGAGGCAGCAGUGGGGAAUAUUGGACAAUGGGCGAAAGCCUGAUCCAGCCAUGCCGCGUGUGUGAAGAAGGUCUUCGGAUUGUAAAGCACUUUAAGUUGGGAGGAAGGGCAGUAAGUUAAUACCUUGCUGUUUUGACGUUACCAACAGAAUAAGCACCGGCUAACUUCGUG